Molecule: ribosomal RNA, 252 nt
Filed under: uncultured bacterium
Lineage: Bacteria
Description: partial 16S ribosomal RNA
Rfam family: Bacterial small subunit ribosomal RNA
Source: RNAcentral
AAUGUGCGAAAGCGCGAACCAGCAACGCCGCGUGUGCGAUGAAGGCCUUCGGGUCGUAAAGCACUUUUUGCAGGGAAGAGGAAGGACGGUACCUGCAGAAUAAGUCUCGGCUAACUACGUGCCAGCAGCCGCGGUAAAACGUAGGAGACGAGCGUUAUCCGGAUUCACUGGGCGUAAAGCGCGUGCAGGCGGCAUGGCAAGUCGGAGGUGAAAGCUCCCGGCUUAACUGGGAGAGGUCGUUCAAUACUGCCA